RNAcentral lists this long non-coding RNA (434 nucleotides) under Manihot esculenta (cassava). Its description in RNAcentral is "long non-coding RNA (MESC_LNC001000)". The record is from RNAcentral. Lineage: Eukaryota; Viridiplantae; Streptophyta; Magnoliopsida; Malpighiales; Euphorbiaceae.
ACCAACUCGAAUUCCUUCACAAUAUCUUUCAUCAAGUCAAUGCGCUUGGCAUCAACCAAAAUGUUCAAGAAAUUUGCGGUGUGGGGCUGGAGUCCCGACGACUCCACAAUUUCGUCAAGCAGUUGGCGUUUCUUCUCGGUAUCGAUUGUUGGGUUGGAGAAAAAGUCGAACACUUGGGGGUCCGAAAAGAGCUUCUCGACUUUUUCCACGUCAGCGGAGGUCGCUUCCAGGGUGUUGUUCCCCUUGGCAACGUCAGCCAGGGCUGUGGCAUAACUAGCAGCGGCAGUAGCUGACAUUUUCGCUCCCGUAGCACCCCCACCGCCGCCGCCGCGGGCACGGGAGGUGGAUGUUAGGUUGAUAGAUGGGAAAGAGGCGGAGAAAGAGAGGUUGAUGGGUCUUUGAGACGAGACGGCUCCUGAGACUCGUGCAGCCGG